GUGCUCUCUUCGGCAGCCCAUACACUAAAAUUAAAACAAGGCAAAGAAGAUCAUCUUUCCUGCACAAGGAAAAUAUAUAAAUCUGUGAAGCAUUCCAUAUCAUU
Molecule: small nuclear RNA, 104 nt
Filed under: Neogale vison (American mink)
Lineage: Eukaryota; Metazoa; Chordata; Mammalia; Carnivora; Mustelidae
Source: RNAcentral